Molecule: ribosomal RNA, 433 nt
Filed under: uncultured bacterium
Lineage: Bacteria
Description: bacterial SSU rRNA
Rfam family: Bacterial small subunit ribosomal RNA
Source: RNAcentral
AUUGAACGCUGGCGGCAGGCCUAACACAUGCAAGUCGAGCGGAUGAGUGGAGCUUGCUCCAUGAUUCAGCGGCGGACGGGUGAGUAAUGCCUAGGAAUCUGCCUGGUAGUGGGGGACAACGUUUCGAAAGGAACGCUAAUACCGCAUACGUCCUACGGGAGAAAGCAGGGGACCUUCGGGCCUUGCGCUAUCAGAUGAGCCUAGGUCGGAUUAGCUAGUAGGUGAGGUAAUGGCUCACCUAGGCGACGAUCCGUAACUGGUCUGAGAGGAUGAUCAGUCACACUGGAACUGAGACACGGUCCAGACUCCUACGGGAGGCAGCAGUGGGGAAUAUUGGACAAUGGGCGAAAGCCUGAUCCAGCCAUGCCGCGUGCAGGAUGACGGUCCUAUGGAUUGUAAACUGCUUUGUACAGGAAGAAACACUAGGUUCGUG